UGCAGAAUCCCGCGAACCAUCGAGUCUUUGAACGCAAGUUGCGCCCGAGGCCACUCGGCCAAGGGCACGCCUGCCUGGGCGUCACGCCAAAACACGCUCUCAACCACCCUCAAUGGGAAUCGGGAAGCGGCAUAUGGUCCCUCGUCCCGCAAGGGGCGGUGGGCCGAAGAUCGGGUUUGCCGGCGGGAAACGUCGGACACAGCGCAUGCUGGGCGUUCUUGCUUUAUCAACGCAGUGCAUCCGAUGCAUAGCCGGCGUGAUGGCCCCUAAAGGACCCAGCAAACGAAGCGCACGUCGCUUCGACCGCGACCCCAGGUCAGGCGGGACUACCCGCUGAGUUUAAGCAUAUAAAUAAGCGGAGGAGAAGAAACUUACAAGGAUUCCCCUAGUAACGGCGAGCGAACCGGGAGCAGCCCAGCUUGAGAAUCGGGCGGCCGUGCCGUCCGA
RNAcentral lists this ribosomal RNA (447 nucleotides) under Hordeum secalinum. RNAcentral describes it as "eukaryotic LSU rRNA". The stretch from base 307 to 447 matches the Rfam family "Eukaryotic large subunit ribosomal RNA", at positions 1 to 141 of the family's 3401-position model. Lineage: Eukaryota; Viridiplantae; Streptophyta; Magnoliopsida; Poales; Poaceae. The record is from RNAcentral.